GACGAACGCUGGCGGCGUGCCUAAUACAUGCAAGUAGAACGCUGAAGCGAGGAGCUUGCUCUUCUUGGAUGAGUUGCGAACGGGUGAGUAACGCGUAGGUAACCUGCCUUGUAGCGGGGGAUAACUAUUGGAAACGAUAGCUAAUACCGCAUAACAAUGGAUGACACAUGUCAUUUAUUUGAAAGGGGCAAUUGCUCCACUACAAGAUGGACCCGCGUUGUAUUAGCUAGUAGGUGAGGUAAUGGCUCACCUAGGCGACGAUACAUAGCCGACCUGAGAGGGUGAUCUGCCACGCUGGGACUGAGACACGGCCCAGACUCCUACGGGAGGCAGCAGGAGGGAAUCUUCGGCAAUGGGGGCAAACCUGACCGAGCAACGCCGCGUGAGUGAAGAAGGUUUCCGGAUCGUAAAGCUCUGUUGUAAGUCAAGAACGGGUGUGAGAGUGGAAAGUUCACACUGUGACGGUAGCUAAUCAGAAAGGGACGGCUAACUACGUG
RNAcentral lists this ribosomal RNA (497 nucleotides) under uncultured bacterium. RNAcentral describes it as "partial 16S ribosomal RNA". It matches the Rfam family "Bacterial small subunit ribosomal RNA", at positions 28 to 507 of the family's 1533-position model. The record is from RNAcentral.